AACGAACGCUGGCGGCAUGCCUAACACAUGCAAGUCGAACGAGACCUUCGGGUCUAGUGGCGCACGGGUGCGUAACGCGUGGGAACCUGCCCUUAGGUUCGGAAUAACUCCCCGAAAGGGGUGCUAAUACCGGAUAAUGUCUUCGGACCAAAGAUUUAUCGCCUUUGGAUGGGCCCGCGUUGGAUUAGCUAGUUAGUAGGGUAAAAGCCUACCAAGGCGACGAUCCAUAGCUGGUCUGAGAGGAUGAUCAGCCACACUGGGACUGAGACACGGCCCAGACUCCUACGGGAGGCAGCAGUGGGGAAUAUUGGACAAUGGGCGAAAGCCUGAUCCAGCAAUGCCGCGUGAGUGAUGAAGGCCUUAGGGUUGUAAAGCUCUUUUACCCGGGAUGAUAAUGACAGUACCGGGAGAAUAAGCGCCGGCUAACUCCGUG
This 433-nucleotide ribosomal RNA is filed under the name uncultured bacterium. Its description in RNAcentral is "partial 16S ribosomal RNA". It matches the Rfam family "Bacterial small subunit ribosomal RNA", at positions 29 to 507 of the family's 1533-position model. The record is from RNAcentral.